CCUACGGGAGGCUGCAGUGAGGAAUAUUGGUCAAUGGACGAGAGUCUGAACCAGCCAAGUAGCGUGAAGGAUGACUGCCCUAUGGGUUGUAAACUUCUUUUAUAAGGGAAUAAAAUGCGACACGUGUGGGAUAUUGUAUGUACCAUAUGAAUAAGGAUCGGCUAACUCCGUGCCAGCAGCCGCGGUAAUACGGAGGAUCCGAGCGUUAGCCGGAUUUAUUGGGUUGAAAGGGAGCGUCGGUGGCUUGGUAAGUCAGUGGUGAAAGUUUGCGGCUCCACCGUAAAAUUGCCGUUGAAACUGGCAGUCUUUAGUCCAGUCGCGUUGGGCUGAUUUCGUGGUGUCGCGG
RNAcentral lists this ribosomal RNA (346 nucleotides) under uncultured bacterium. RNAcentral describes it as "partial 16S ribosomal RNA". It matches the Rfam family "Bacterial small subunit ribosomal RNA", at positions 338 to 681 of the family's 1533-position model. The record is from RNAcentral.